GACGAACGCUGGCGGCGUGCUUAACACAUGCAAGUCGAACGGAAAGGCCCUGCUUUUGUGGGGUGCUCGAGUGGCGAACGGGUGAGUAACACGUGAGUAACCUGCCCUUGACUUUGGGAUAACUUCAGGAAACUGGGGCUAAUACCGGAUAGGAGCUCCUGCUGCAUGGUGGGGUUGGAAAGUUUCGGCGGUUGGGGAUGGACUCGCGGCUUAUCAGCUUGUUGGUGGGGUAGUGGCUUACCAAGGCUUUGACGGGUAGCCGGCCUGAGAGGGUGACCGGCCACAUUGGGACUGAGAUACGGCCCAGACUCCUACGGGAGGCAGCAGUGGGGAAUAUUGCACAAUAGGCGGAAGCCUGAUGCAGCAACGCCGCGUGCGGGAUGACGGCCUUCGGGUUGUAAACCGCUUUCGCCUGUGACGAAGCGUGAGUGACGGUAAUGGGUAAAGAAGCACCGGCUAACUACGUG
RNAcentral lists this ribosomal RNA (467 nucleotides) under uncultured bacterium. RNAcentral describes it as "partial 16S ribosomal RNA". It matches the Rfam family "Bacterial small subunit ribosomal RNA", at positions 28 to 507 of the family's 1533-position model. The record is from RNAcentral.